UUUCCGUAGGUGAACCUGCGGAAGGAUCAUUGUAGGAUUGUUUUGGAGGGGGUGGUUGUGAUUUGUGGGGAUUGUGUGUGGUUGUUUGGAUUGCUUGAAUUGCCCGGCUAUCUGCAACUCGACUCGUCUCAUCACAACCACUCUUUACAUUGGCACAGACCAGUGGUCUGGUGUUUAGAGCACAGACUCGGUCUGGUUUUUGGAGCAACAGACCAGUGGUGUCUGAUGUUUGCGCUUGCUCGUUUGACAGAAACAGUACCAUAUCAUUGCAAAACUUUUAACAAUGGAUCUCUUGGCUCUU
RNAcentral lists this unclassified non-coding RNA (301 nucleotides) under plant metagenome. Its description in RNAcentral is "partial contains small subunit ribosomal RNA, internal transcribed spacer 1, and 5.8S ribosomal RNA". The record is from RNAcentral.